AUUGAACGCUGGCGGAAUGCUUUACACAUGCAAGUCGAACGGCAGCACGGGGGCAACCCUGGUGGCGAGUGGCGAACGGGUGAGUAAUACAUCGGAACGUGCCCAGUCGUGGGGGAUAACGUAGCGAAAGCUACGCUAAUACCGCAUACGAUCUAAGGAUGAAAGCGGGGGAUCGGAAGACCCCGAGCGAUUGGAGCGGCCGAUGGCAGAUUAGGUAGUUGGUGGGGUAAAGGCUAACCAAGCCGACGAUCUGUAGCUGGUCUGAGAGGACGACCAGCCACACUGGGACUGAGACACGGCCCAGACUCCUACGGGAGGCAGCAGUGGGGAAUUUUGGACAAUGGGCGCAAGCCUGAUCCAGCCAUUCCGCGUGCAGGAUGAAGGCCCUCGGGUUGUAAACUGCUUUUGUACGGAACGAAACGGCUCUCUCUAAUACAGGGGGCUAAUGACGGUACCGUAAGAAUAAGCACCGGCUAACUACGUGCCAGCCGCCGCGGUAA
RNAcentral lists this ribosomal RNA (500 nucleotides) under uncultured bacterium. Its description in RNAcentral is "partial 16S ribosomal RNA". It matches the Rfam family "Bacterial small subunit ribosomal RNA", at positions 29 to 523 of the family's 1533-position model. The record is from RNAcentral.